AUACGGAGGGUGCAAGCGUUACUCGGAAUCACUGGGCGUAAAGCGCGCGCAGGCGGUCUUUUAAGUUGGAUGUGAAAGCCUACAGCUCAACCGUAGAACUGCAUCCAAAAUUGUCAGGCUAGAGUGUGGGAGAGGAAGAUGGAAUUAGUUGUGUAGGGGUAAAAUCCGUAGAGAUAACUAGGAAUACCAAAAGCGAAGGCAAUCUUCUGGAACACUACUGACGCUGCGGCGCGAAGGCGUGGGGAGCAAACAGGAUUAGAAACCCGGGUAGUCC
This 274-nucleotide ribosomal RNA is filed under the name uncultured bacterium. RNAcentral's name for it is "partial 16S ribosomal RNA". It matches the Rfam family "Bacterial small subunit ribosomal RNA", at positions 523 to 796 of the family's 1533-position model. The record is from RNAcentral.